This 495-nucleotide ribosomal RNA is filed under the name uncultured bacterium. Its description in RNAcentral is "partial 16S ribosomal RNA". It matches the Rfam family "Bacterial small subunit ribosomal RNA", at positions 28 to 507 of the family's 1533-position model. The record is from RNAcentral.
GACGAACGCUGGCGGCGUGCCUAAUACAUGCAAGUAGAACGCUGAAGGAGGAGCUUGCUCUUCUGGAUGAGUUGCGAACGGGUGAGUAACGCGUAGGUAACCUGCCUGGUAGCGGGGGAUAACUAUUGGAAACGAUAGCUAAUACCGCAUAAGAGUAGAUGUUGCAUGACAUUUACUUAAAAGGUGCAAUUGCAUCACUACCAGAUGGACCUGCGUUGUAUUAGCUAGUUGGUGGGGUAACGGCUUAACAAGGCGACGAUACAUAGCCGACCUGAGAGGGGGGUCGGCCAAACUGGGACUGAGACACGGGCCAGACUCCUACGGGAAGCAGCAGUAGGGAAUCUUCGGCAAUGGACGGAAGUCUGAACGAGCAACGCCGCGUGAGUGAAGAAGGUUUUCGGAUCGUAAAGCUCUGUUGUAAGAGAAGAACGAGUGUGAGAGUGGAAAGUUCACACUGUGACGGUAUCUUACCAGAAAGGGACGGCUAACUACGUG